CAGUCGCCGCGGUAAUACGGAGGGAGCUAGCGUUGUUCGGAAUUACUGGGCGUAAAGCGCACGUAGGCGGCUUUGUAAGUUAGAGGUGAAAGCCUGGAGCUCAACUCCAGAAUUGCCUUUAAGACUGCAUCGCUUGAAUCCAGGAGAGGUGAGUGGAAUUCCGAGUGUAGAGGUGAAAUUCGUAGAUAUUCGGAAGAACACCAGUGGCGAAGGCGGCUCACUGGACUGGUAUUGACGCUGAGGUGCGAAAGCGUGGGGAGCAAACAGGAUUAGAUACCCCUGUAGUCCCUGUCUCUUAUAC
Molecule: ribosomal RNA, 301 nt
Filed under: uncultured bacterium
Lineage: Bacteria
Description: partial 16S ribosomal RNA
Rfam family: Bacterial small subunit ribosomal RNA
Source: RNAcentral